This 1558-nucleotide long non-coding RNA is filed under the name Monodelphis domestica (gray short-tailed opossum). RNAcentral describes it as "lncRNA (ENSMODG00000050584.1)". Lineage: Eukaryota; Metazoa; Chordata; Mammalia; Didelphimorphia; Didelphidae. The record is from RNAcentral.
CUGGUAUUGGCAUAUAAUCUGGGGAAAAGUUUUUAAAAAGAAGUUUGUUUCCAGGUGCUUUUCUUGAUUAUCUCACUGUCAUCAGUUAUCACCAGCUGCCAACUAUCAGAAGAUAAUAAAGAAGACAAAGCUCAAAAUAGUUUUUAUAGAGCUUAGAACUGACUGAGGUGUGAUUGAGAAACAAAUAGCUCUUAUCACCUAGCUGUAUACCUGCCCAGGGAAACCUUAGAGAAAACCACCUGUUAUCUCCUCCAUUUGAAAUUCACAGGGAGAAGAGCCAGAUGAAGAGAGAGGACAAAGAAGGAUGUAAAUGAGCUUGGAGGCUUUUUUUUUUUGGUUUGUUUUCCUUUUGUUUUUCCUGAAGGGCUUCUCAAAGACAUCUGUUGGCUGAGGUUACUGUCUGUACUAGGUGCAAUUAGGACACUGGCAAGGGUCUGCUAAUUACUGAUUGUUCAAAUCUGCUAGACUAGAAAAUAAGGUGAGAAAGUGUCAGAGAAGAGACCCUGGGCAGACUAUAAAACCUGAGCCUCCUGAGUCCUAGGCUGCAAUGAAUAGCCUUGGCAAACUAGUACUGUAGUUUAUUGCUCUGGGAGUGAGUCUCUAGGAAAUGCUCCAGGUGAAGGAAGCAUGGAGAGUAAAGGAAGAAUUCUUUGGACCAGUAAAUAUUGUGCCAUCUUUCUUUUUCUGCCAGAAGUCCACUGUUCCUCUGUGGAUGCAAGUAUAUUUGUUCUUCUUGACCCUGUGACUGCAACUGGGAACUGUAUCUGGACAAGCCAUAACUGGGAUGUUAAGGUGAUGCCACAGAUGCCAAUAUCUGGAAACAACUCUUCCAUAGGAAUUGACGACUUCCUGCUACUGACCAUGAUGAUGCAUAUGCCUUUCUCUUUACUAAAGCCUUUUACUCUUGGAGUCAUUAAGCUUUGGAGUACUAUGAAGGAAGAACUAUGUGAGAGGAAGACUGGCUCUAUACUAAAGGGAAAGUAGAUUGGCUAAUCCUGUUCCUACUGUUACUGCCAUGUGGCUGCAUGAGGUAUUGAAGGAAAUGUAGGAUUAUUGGAAAAAUUUUGUAUGUAGUAAGAACUUAUGAAAUAUACAUUUACUUAAAUCAUGGGAUCUGUUGUUCACAUUCCUACUAAUCUAGACUGAGUGGUUUUAACUAAGAUUGUUUUAUUGACAAUUUAACAAUUAUUUAAUGAAUUAAUAGAAUCAGCUAUCAAAAUUUAAGUUAGCUAUUAAUAUAUCAUCAUAAUUUUAUAUAGUGUUGAGUGGGGUGUAAUUUGUUUUAUUUACUUGUAUUAUUUCUUUGGACACUCACAAUAAUCCUACGAGGUAUAUCUAAUAAUUAUUAUCACCAUUUCACAUUUGAGCAAACUGGAGAUUAAAGUUGACUUACCCAAGAUGACAAAAUAAGUAAGAGGCAGAAUCAGAUAUUAAAGCCUGACUAUUUUAUCUCAAACAUUCAAGCAUUUUUCAACUAAAUUCUUUUAAAAAAACAUUGAUGUCCAUAGUUGAGUGCUACAAGCUUUUAAAUAAACAUAAAAUUUGAAUAUAAGGCCCA